CCCAUCUUUCGUUUGUUGUGCUCACCAUACUGGCAGCUUCUCCAAUUUCUAUUAUUCGAUUCUUUUUAUUUUUUCCGAAAGUCUUGUUGACCGUCGCUUCUAUAAAUUGCUGCAUUAUAAAUAAAAAAAUAAAAGAAACGAAAUAUAAUUAAAAUAAUCAAUGGAACUUACAAAUGGAGUCAUUGAUUCAGAUUCAGCCCACGAUUUUGCCUCUGGACUUUUGAUAAAUUCCGUGGCUUCA
This 241-nucleotide long non-coding RNA is filed under the name Zostera marina. RNAcentral describes it as "long non-coding RNA (ZMAR_LNC006071)". The record is from RNAcentral. Lineage: Eukaryota; Viridiplantae; Streptophyta; Magnoliopsida; Alismatales; Zosteraceae.